UACGGGGGGGGCAAGCGUUGCUCGGAAUGACUGGGCGUAAAGGGCGCGUAGGCGGCUCAUACAGUCAGAUGUGAAAUUCCUGGGCUUAACCUGGGGGCUGCAUUUGAUACGUGUGGGCUUGAGUGGGGAAGAGGGUCGUGGAAUUCCCAGUGUAGAGGUGAAAUUCGUAGAUAUUGGGAAGAACACCGGUGGCGAAGGCGGCGACCUGGUCCUUGACUGACGCUGAGGCGCGAAAGCGUGGGGAGCAAACAGG
This 253-nucleotide ribosomal RNA is filed under the name uncultured bacterium. RNAcentral describes it as "partial 16S ribosomal RNA". It matches the Rfam family "Bacterial small subunit ribosomal RNA", at positions 524 to 776 of the family's 1533-position model. The record is from RNAcentral.